UUUAUUAUUAUAUUAUGUCUUAGUUUUGUAACUAAAAUGGUUUGGCAGCAAGUGAUUCUAGCUAGGGGAAGGUGCGUUGUAAAGGAUGGUCCGCCUAUUAUUUUACUUAUUUUAUGUUGGUGUAUAUCUAGUUUAAUAUUAUUGUUUAAUGAUUUAAAUUGUGUAUAUGAAGUUAUUUAAGCUAAGUCUAUGUGCUGCUUGAAUAAGAUUUCGUGCGUUACAUUUAUAUGGUUAUUAUAAGUGAUAUUUUGUAAAAUAGUUAGGACUUAGUAGUAAUGUAAAAUUAGUUUGUUAUUG
RNAcentral lists this ribosomal RNA (297 nucleotides) under Moniezia expansa (sheep tapeworm). RNAcentral describes it as "partial 12S ribosomal RNA". The record is from RNAcentral. Lineage: Eukaryota; Metazoa; Platyhelminthes; Cestoda; Cyclophyllidea; Anoplocephalidae.